UAGGGAAUCUUCCACAAUGGACGAAAGUACUGAUGGAGCAACGCCGCGUGUGUGAUGAAGGGUUUCGGCUCGUAAAACACUGUUGUAAGAGAAGAAUGGCAUUGAGAGUAACUGUUCAAUGUGUGACGGUAUCUUACCAGAAAGGAACGGCUAAAUACGUGCCAG
RNAcentral lists this ribosomal RNA (165 nucleotides) under uncultured bacterium. RNAcentral's name for it is "partial 16S rRNA". It matches the Rfam family "Bacterial small subunit ribosomal RNA", at positions 355 to 511 of the family's 1533-position model. The record is from RNAcentral.